UAAGCGUGAGGUCGGAGGUUCAAGUCCUCCCAGGCCCACCAAUUAUCCAUCCAUAGAAAAGCGCUUAGAAAGUUUGACUGUUAACAGGUCAACGUUGUUUUGUAGGACGCCAAUAUUGUCUUGAAAAAGAGCUUUCUUGUAAAGUUUGAGAAAACUUGUUUAUCGCUUUUUGUAAGAUGUGGUGUUUGUCUGCUUUUAAAGCGAUCGAAACUGAAAGUGUUUCAAAGAUAAGAGUCUUGGAACAGAAGAGUCUUGGAAUAGAAAAGAAUAUAAAGUCUAGGUGGUAUUACAUAGUCUAGAGUUAAAUUGUUCAUGAUUGGAACAUUUCAUAUUGAAAUGCUGCGAUAUAAAGGUUUCGAAUAAAUUAUUCCGUUUUGGGGCCGUAGCUCAGCUGGGAGAGCACCUGCUUUGCAAGCA
This 417-nucleotide unclassified non-coding RNA is filed under the name uncultured Bartonella sp. Its description in RNAcentral is "partial 16S-23S ribosomal RNA intergenic spacer". Lineage: Bacteria; Pseudomonadati; Pseudomonadota; Alphaproteobacteria; Hyphomicrobiales; Bartonellaceae. The record is from RNAcentral.